GUGGCAUUUUGUUUUGUAUAUUUCUCAUUCUUGGGUCCACUACCAGAGGCCUAAGAGUCUGCAGGUCAUUUACAGUAGCUUACCUGGUCUUAGAACUGCAAUGUUCUAAACAGAGAUCUCAGUUAUACCACCUGGAAGCCACUCUCCAAACUUGGGCAUUAAAGGACUGAGUGCUCCUUUCACAUCUGGACUACUAUUGCCUGUACUUUUCAUUUCUAGUUCCUCUUUCAGCAUUUGGUAUUUGUCCAUCAUCUCAUUUACCUUCUUCAUGAUGCUAUGUUAUAUUACAUUAUAUUAUUGGAC
Molecule: non-coding RNA, 303 nt
Organism: Pelobates cultripes (western spadefoot toad)
Lineage: Eukaryota; Metazoa; Chordata; Amphibia; Anura; Pelobatidae
Source: the annotation of a GenBank genome assembly